GUAGGGGCGUUGCGGGGGGGUGUACUCGAGCAUUACUCGAGUGCUCGUGUAGCACUCGAGCGGCGCGUGCUGUGCACGCCCCUCAAUUAAAAAAAAUUCCAACGGCUUUUUUAACGUCAAUUUUGAAUUUUUUUUCCAACGGCACUUUUAGCCGUUUGGCCCCUUUUUUUUUAUUUUUUUUUUCUCUUCUUUUCUCUCUAUAAAUAAUACUUCUCCCUCUCUCAUUCAUCACAAC
Molecule: long non-coding RNA, 235 nt
Filed under: Salvia miltiorrhiza (redroot sage)
Lineage: Eukaryota; Viridiplantae; Streptophyta; Magnoliopsida; Lamiales; Lamiaceae
Description: long non-coding RNA (SMIL_LNC009388)
Source: RNAcentral